UACGUAGGGGCUAGCGUUAUCCGGAAUUACUGGGCGUAAAGGGUGCGUAGGUGGUUUCUUAAGUCAGAGGUGAAAGGCUACGGCUCAACCGUAGUAAGCCUUUGAAACUGGGAAACUUGAGUGCAGGAGAGGAGAGUGGAAUUCCUAGUGUAGCGGUGAAAUGCGUAGAUAUUAGGAGGAACACCGGCGGCGAAGGCGGCUUACUGGACGAAGACUGACGUUGAGGCUCGAAAGCGUGGGGAGCAAACAGGAUUAGAUACCUGCGUAGUCCCUGAGCGGGCUGG
This 284-nucleotide ribosomal RNA is filed under the name uncultured prokaryote. RNAcentral describes it as "partial 16S ribosomal RNA". It matches the Rfam family "Bacterial small subunit ribosomal RNA", at positions 524 to 819 of the family's 1533-position model. The record is from RNAcentral.